Molecule: ribosomal RNA, 395 nt
Filed under: uncultured bacterium
Lineage: Bacteria
Description: bacterial SSU rRNA
Rfam family: Bacterial small subunit ribosomal RNA
Source: RNAcentral
GACGAACGCUGGCGGCGUGCUUAACACAUGCAAGUCACGGGGGUCUCGGGGCAACUCGGGAUAACCGGCGAACGGGUGCGUAACACGUAAGCGACCUGCCGAUUCGCGGGGGAUAGCCGGCCCAACGGCCGGGUAAUACCGCAUACGCUUGCUGGGUUUCAUGGCCGGGCAAGGAAACCUCCGGGGAACCGGGAGGGGCGGAUCGAGGGGCUUGCGGCCUAUCAGCUAGUUGGUGAGGUAACGGCUCACCAAGGCGGUGACGGGUAGCUGGUCUGAGAGGAUGGCCAGCCACAUUGGGACUGAGAGACGGCCCAGACUCUACGGGAGGCAGCAGUGGGGAAUCUUGCGCAAUGGGCGAAAAGCCUGACGCAGCGACGCCGCGUGGGGAGUGACGC